Molecule: long non-coding RNA, 287 nt
Filed under: Capsicum annuum
Lineage: Eukaryota; Viridiplantae; Streptophyta; Magnoliopsida; Solanales; Solanaceae
Description: long non-coding RNA (CANN_LNC019129)
Source: RNAcentral
CCCUUUUCCUUCAUUGUUUAUUUUUCCUUUAGGUUGUCAGACAUUAAAAUUAGACACUAUCAAUCUCCCAAUUUUUGAUGGAUGAAAAUUUAAAAAUAUAGUUAGUCGACUUCCCUAUUUAGCUCCCCUGAAUGGUUGACUAGGAGGGCCAAUGCUCUUCCUGAAUGGUGCUAUCAGAGCAUAUGACUAUGAUCCUAUAAAUAUAGUACAUGCUAUUUCCCCCUUUUACAUCAAAGAAAAAGGAAGGUGAAGCACCAAAACAUGUACUAUGAGAGAAAAAAAGAAAG